This 830-nucleotide long non-coding RNA is filed under the name Gossypium barbadense (sea-island cotton). Its description in RNAcentral is "long non-coding RNA (GBAR_LNC017155)". Lineage: Eukaryota; Viridiplantae; Streptophyta; Magnoliopsida; Malvales; Malvaceae. The record is from RNAcentral.
AAGCAAGGAUAUGAUAAUAAAUAAAACUGGAAAUGGAACAUGAUGACACUUACACUGUUAUUUUCCUAAGGUUAUUUCUUCACCUUACAGAAGCAGAUAUGGAUUGCUGAUUAUAUAGCCCAGUGACUCCAUUAGUAAGCUGCUGCCCGUUUUUCCGCCGUUUCUUUACAACUGUAAAUCCUUCGCCAUCUCCGGGUUUCUUAUUAUUUAUAUCCAACGCUUUUGGUUCUUCAUUGCUACUGGAUUGAGAAUCCAAGUCCUUUCCUUCAUUCCCAUAUAGAAUUUUUAUUAUUGCAGUGUCGCUUGUAACUGCAUCCGAAGAGUUUUGGGAAUGGUUGAGCCUUUUGUCAUUGAUUAAAGCCUCACAUUCACCAUCCAUGUUCUGCUUGGCGGACCGGACAAUGAAGCUAAGCAAAAUCUGCCUUGCCACCUCGGAUUUCUCCUCUGCGCUGCUCUUUUUUGGAUUAGAACCGUUAACUUCCCUACUCAACUUCUUAUCAACUUCCUUCACUUCUGUGUUCAUAGCUUCUUCAGAGCCACUCAAAUCACCAGUUCCAGUCAUUUGCCAAAUUUUGCUUGGAACGAACUCAGGUGCAUGAGGGUUCAUAACUCUCGGAGAUCCAAAUCCAUUUUGUUCCAAAAUAGGAGUUUGGUAUCUAAGAAAGCUACCGUAAGAAUUAUUGUUUCUGUAAAACAAUGGCGACCUUGGCCCGCAAGGAACUCGAGCAGCAACUGGAGGUACAACAGGCUCAACAAGCAUGCCUUGACUAGCUGUUACAUCAUAAACACAUGUAACAGAAACUGAGUUUAAAGGGUGAUAGAGUGCUCCG